GUUAAAAUAUGAGGCUAUAUCUAGAGGUCAUUGAGAAGUAUGAGAGAUUUCUCUUUUUAGUUCAAAAAUUUUAGUUCUGUUAGCAGUACCACAUCAAGCUUCGAGCUGUGCCCAUAUACUUUGUGCAGUAUCAGAAUACUGCACACUCUCAGCUAUCUAAGGAGAUAAGGAAGCAGUUAACCAGGAGAUUACCAUAUUGUACAUCUGUCCCAUAACUUUUGUUCAGCCACAUUAGUGUCUGGUCGGGGACAUGUACCAUCAACAAAGCCAAUUUUAUUCUUAGCAGACAGGGCGAAAAUCAUUUUCCUCUUCCAACCCCCAUAGCCACUACCCGAGAAGGGAGUGGAGACAAGAGAAAAUCCAACAAUAUCAGAGGAGUAAACAAAAAGAUGGCUGGUAGGGUCAAUAGAGGACGUAUUAACACUCAUGUUAGAAGUCAUGAACAACAAUGAGUUUGAAAUCAAAAAUAGUCUCGGUAAAUAAUUUGGAAACUUAGAGUUGUAUCAAAACCACAUGCAAAGCAUAUAGCACCUAGAACAAGAAUAGAUUUACCCGCCUUCUUCGCGACCGGAGAAGAACGGCCUUCGAUUGACAGAGAAAACAAUAGAUUUACCCGCCUUCUUCGCGACCGGAGAAGAACGGCCUUCGACUGAGAGAGAAAACCCUAGCUCCAAACAGUAGAAACCCUAGAACCUGGAAACUUACCGGAAUCAGUUCGAGGGCGUCGGAAAGCUACCCAAAACAUCCACCCAAGGAAGAUCGAACCAUCAGAUAGCGGUAAAAGUUCCGAUUGACCGCUCGAUACACAUAGGGUUUGUCAACAACAAAAUCUCUCACAAAUAUCCAAAAAAAAUCUUCAAUACAACUCUAACAGAGUUGAUAACAAAUGAUGGAGAAGCGUCCGAAGAUUUCCCCCUCUGAUACCAUGAAAACAUAGCAAAAUGGAGAUGAAAAUGAAGAAGGAGAGUCGGUUGAGAGAGAGCUUCUC
RNAcentral lists this long non-coding RNA (988 nucleotides) under Nicotiana benthamiana. RNAcentral describes it as "long non-coding RNA (NBEN_LNC016095)". Lineage: Eukaryota; Viridiplantae; Streptophyta; Magnoliopsida; Solanales; Solanaceae. The record is from RNAcentral.